Long non-coding RNA from Gadus morhua (Atlantic cod), 363 nucleotides. RefSeq lists it as uncharacterized. The transcript has 3 exons. The record is from RefSeq and is a predicted model, not a curated record. Lineage: Eukaryota; Metazoa; Chordata; Actinopteri; Gadiformes; Gadidae.
UGUCUGUUCAGCUAACUGCAUGAUAAACUGGGACCACAGACUAGAUGUCAGACCAGCUUUCUGCGCUACAGAGUGUUCAAAUACCUCCCAGAACAACAGGGUGAGAGAGGAGAGGACUCACUAUGGAUUUAAGAUCAGCAGCAAGAGGAUUUCUAGCUUUCCUUCUGUCAGUACCAGUGCUUCAGGGUAAUGAUGACUGGACAGUUACUUACUCAUCUAGUAAUGUCUGUGCUUUAAGAGGAGCAAUGGUUGAAAUCAACUGCACCUAUGAAUACCCUGACAACGUACAGUACCGCCCUACCACAGUCACAACACUGUGGUUUACUAAAGAAGACAACCAUCAGCCUGUUGAUCUGGUACACG